UACGUAGGGUGCGAGCGUUCAUCGGAAUUCCUGGGCGUAAAGCGUGCGCAGGCGGUUUUGUAAGCCAGAUGUGAAAUCCCCGGGCUUAACCUGGGAAUGGCAUUUGGGACUGCAAGGCUGGAGUUUGGCAGAGGAGACUGGAAUUCCCGGUGUAGCAGUGAAAUGCGUAGAUAUCGGGAGGAAUACCGAUGGCGAAGGCAGGUCUCUGGGCUAUAACUGACGCUCAUGCACGAAAGCGUGGGGAGCAAACAGG
RNAcentral lists this ribosomal RNA (253 nucleotides) under uncultured bacterium. RNAcentral describes it as "partial 16S ribosomal RNA". It matches the Rfam family "Bacterial small subunit ribosomal RNA", at positions 524 to 776 of the family's 1533-position model. The record is from RNAcentral.